Molecule: long non-coding RNA, 4164 nt
Organism: Orbicella faveolata
Lineage: Eukaryota; Metazoa; Cnidaria; Anthozoa; Scleractinia; Merulinidae
Source: RefSeq, a predicted model, not a curated record
GAGACUACUUUGUAAAUAACAGAGUAAAGCAAAACUUAGCCUAGUUCCUCGAAUUCGUGUUAUAACAUAGCUAGUAUAUCCGUGGGAUCUGAAUCAAUAGCACUAGCGUGCAUCACGAUGCAGUGAUAACAACAUUCAAUAGCGACACUCUGUGCUCCACAAAAUCUUCAAAUGACCGUGCAAAUAGCCGCACUAACUAGACUUUAUCCCUAUCUCAAAGCGAGAGAAAAGUCCAUGUUCAUUACGAAAAUGUUUAGCUAUGGUGAAGGUCUUUUGUUGGCGAUCUUUUGGCCCCACAGUCACCGAACAAACUAAAAACGGAGCAGAGAGAGUCGUUUUAUAUGUAGUACGGACAAAAGUGAAUUUGAUUUCAUCAUCGAAAAAAGUUCUGUUUUUGUUCUCGUUUGUUCCCGAUCGUUGUGGCUAUGUUAUGAAGAAUUGGAUCAUGUUUUUAGCUGUGCAUCUUUCGAGUUGUGGAGAGCACUUAAGAAGGUAGACUGAGCAGCUCCUGGCUGUAUCUCGAGCAGUUCUUACGCUUCUCUCUUGCUCUCCAAAACUCCCGUGUGGAUCCAUAACUCGAUAGAAGCUCGCUAAGCUGAAGCAAUUGUUAUUUUUUGAUGAGAGAGUUGCCAUGUGCCAUUGAUGAAAUCCCCGAAUCGAUAGUACAUCAGAACGUGCUAUAUCAAGCUGCUCAUGCACUUCUGCUCACUGCAGCAGUCACUUCAGUUCCUUUCAAUAUCGUUUUGUAUCAUACAUUUUACAUGUUAAACUUACUUAUUCAGCAUUUAUACCUUCUAAGAUGGUAAAAGUAGAAUUUAGGAACCACGGCUUGGGCAUUGGCCUAACCGAUAUCAAGCUUUACAAUUUAUGUACGAUGAAACUUAUAUAUAUUGUCAUGUAAUUUACACUGUAAAUAAUAAUUAUUAAACAAAACAAAACACUUAAAUUGUAACUCUAGCAAUUCCGUUACAGGCUUUUGCUACGAAAAACUUCAAUUCCAGUUGCUAAAGUAAAAAUAAAAGUUGUCUAUAAAAUGAUCUAUUAUUCACAGUUCAGCUAAAAUAUUUUUUCAUCCUAUACUAUAAAAUGUGGGUCGCAUAGUUCGAUCCUUGUAAUAUCAUAUCCGAGGCCUAAAACAUGUUAUAUAUUUGCACAAUUUGCUCGUCUGAUCCUAGCAACACCCCGACAAACCCAGUCUGUUUUACAGUGUUUACAUCAAAAUAUAUAUGUACCAUGCCUUAUAUCUUUACAAACGUGUAGUGAGUCUUAGAUGUACCUUAGUCCCCUAUACUAACCAUGCAUGGUUUCAAGUUAUCGGAAAAUUUAAAUAACUCUGCCGACCUUCCUUGCAGACAACAAAACGUACCUCUUAAUUUUAAGUCGACAGACCGGAUUCCCGUCCUUGUCCUGCGCCAAACACCCAGAAGUCCAGAGGCUUCGCUUAUUACUUCAGCGGGAUAACGCUACAGAUAUCUCGAUAGUGUGUGUUGUAGAAAAAGCCCAUUCUAAGGUUUCAUGCCACUUAAAGACCCACUCUUUAUCUCCAGGAUGUUUACGAGAAGCGCCGUUAUGUCAGAAUUCAAGAAGAGCUCCUUGUACAUUGUUUACCCCAGGAAGAUAUAAAAUCAGUUACGCACACGUCGUAUAGAUCUAUAAAAAAAAACUGGUUUAAAAGACUCACGUAGCAAUGAUAAAACUGAUAAACAUUUAUAGGGAUCGAUCGGAAAUUAUCACCUUCUUUUACGUUUUUCCGGUUAAGGCCAUCUUGUGACGCAACUGCUAUCAACAGAGAGAUCCUUUCUGUUCUUCCAAUGAAACCAAAUCGAUAACACGGAAUAUCAGAGAAAUCAACUGGAAAGAAAAUACACUGAAUUUCUACGAAGAUUACUGGUAGCCGAAAACUAGAGGGAGUUUAUCCAGGCCCAUGAACAUGUUGGGAUUCCAUCCAACUUUUGUCUUUAAGUUGGAGAGAUUUUCAUGCCAGGCUUUCUUCUUGUUGCCCAUACAAACAAUAAUGCAUCUGCUUUAUACGUGCAUAACUUCAUUACAUAUGUGAGAUGAUGUCUCCCAACACCUGCUAGCUACGGAUCGCAGAAAUAAGCUACAGAGUUCGUGAAUCCAAUAUGUUUUUGGCUCUCAAUCUCUCUAAUCGUCCCACGUUCGAUGCAUGCCUUCCGGAAUAGAAUAACCGGUUGUAGUCACGAAUCAAGGAAAUGAUUGAAAAAAUACAUAAAUAAAUAAAUAAAAAAAAAAAUGAUGACGGAGCGGAUUACCAAGUUCUCAUUGCCGCCAGUAAGAGCAAAACCGUUGUCAAAAAAGAAACAGGCACGAUCCAUGCAGGCAGGGGUGAAUACACACAUUGGAAAUAUAUUUCCGUAGGUGCACGAUGAGAUUGCACUUUUGGCUCAACAUUUCAAGACGGACAAAACAAGCAGUGUGACGUCACAAUGAUCGUUUUCACAAUUCGUGGGCCCGUGACGUGGCGCGUGGCAAUAAAAGGUGGGACGUUGCGUGGAAAGUUAGUUCAAUGAAUCGACGCUAACGAGCAGCAACUGUAAAGACGAAGCAACGCAAACUUUGGUUCUCGUCAGCUGUGACAAACAAAUCUUUAACCUGCAAAAUACUGACUAAAGAUUUCUUCUAUCCGUGGAAGUUCCAGACGAUUCCAAUAUGAAAACUGAAAUCACCUUCAUCGCAGCAUGUUUCUUGUUGAUGACUCAGUUGAUGGUAAUAACUGCAAGACCAAGAUUCAACCGACGGAUUGUUCGAAUGAAAAGAAAAACAAUGGAGGAAACACCAAGUGUCAUUUUAACAAGACCUGUUCCAAGCAAAGAAAGUCAUAUAGACGAAGAGGGCGUCUUAGCGAAGCUGCUUAGCUUGGAUGAUGUUGACGCCAGCGACAGAAAACAGAAGCCAGAUGCUUUCAGCACUGACUUAGCCAGAUUAUCAUAUGAACCAAAGCUUCAACCAGACGAUAACACCAAGAAGACAAGACAAGGCAAAAGAAGAGUACGAAGACAACGUUGUUUUCCCCCUUUUUGGCAGUGUGCAGUACGACCGACUAACUCGAAUCAUAAGCAAGUACAACCUCAACGAGGCAACAUGAACUUAUAAUGUGUCCAACGUUAUUGGACGUUUUGCAGUAAACAUUGAAUGGUGUCAGUAGGAAAUACACGACAACAACAAAAACGUAUUAUUCACCUGAGACAGCAGGCCUCCAAUGUGACGAAUCAGUCUCUGGUUUAAAAGACACCAGUUUAGCAUUGAUUGCAAGUUGCCACGCACUGUAAAGCCUGUUACGCUAUUUUAGCCCAGAAUUCAUACUUUAAGAGUCGCUAUAUAAACCUAUUUCUAGCUCCUAAAGUAAAAAAGCAACAACAACAACAAACAAAACAAACAAAAAAAUAAUAGCCGUUACUCAAUGUUACCGAAAAGACAUUUGUUUUCUUCGAUUUUGCCAUGCCGAUUUAGAGCCCAGUUUAGAAUUCAUUUUUUGAGGGUGAUAUCAAAUCCUUCAAAGAAAUAACCAUUCUGAAGAUAUUGAGCUAGAGGUUAAACUGUGUAAUUGUCAAAAGUUAAGGUUUGUUAAAAAGUUCAGCAUUUAUGCUUUAGACAAAUUAGCACUUAACAUAAUAUACACUGUCGAUGGGCUUGUACAAUGAAGUUUUUAUAACCUGAACGAUUCAACGUGAAUAGUUUUCCAGAAGUAUAAAGUCAUUUACACGCCCUCUGAUUCCUUGAUGUCUUUUGAUUUCCUCUAGCUAUUAAAGAAUUACUGAAAACAAAAAAAUGCUCUACAAUAAAAGGUUCCCUUUUUAUCAAAAUUACCAAUCGAACUACUAGUGAGAAAAACAUGUUUAUAAUUAGAAGAAUUUAUUUUCAGGAAUUAAUAAAGCUUACUUUGUUCUCUAGCUUCAAACAAAUGGAAUACAACUUUUUUUCACAUACGCCUCAGCGAAAGUAAAUGCUUUUUUAGCCUUUGAUCGGAUCAAAGUUUAUUUAAGUCGUAUGUUUUUUGCGAAGUAAACAAUUAAAAUUGUUUUGCUGUAUUUAUACGCAUAAGAAAAUAAAAGGAAUAUUUAAUUAAUGGAAUUGCAUGUAAAUAUAUGCGCUUUGCUUUGUCUACGUAAUGUAUAAAUAAAAGAGCAUUGAAGUGUUGUAUAA